UGCAGCAGUAUGUUUUUUGUUAUGGCUGUUUCUACUUCUGUUUAGAAGGCAACCCAGCUGAAGGAUAGAGUUUCAAAGACAUGAAGAGUGUCAAGUGAGACCUGCCAUGUGUAUGUUCAUAUACCAGAUCUGCUUGAUGAAAGUCGAAUGCCUUACUAAAUUCAUCACCCAUAUGAUAAAGCAUCAGGAAAUUUAUCUCAUCAUGUGGAGUAAUG
This is a long non-coding RNA of Daphnia pulicaria, 215 nucleotides long. RefSeq lists it as uncharacterized. The record is from RefSeq and is a predicted model, not a curated record. The transcript is spliced from 3 exons. NCBI's taxonomy places the organism in Eukaryota, Metazoa, Arthropoda, Branchiopoda, Diplostraca, Daphniidae.